GGAGGGAUCAUCAAAGAAGAAAAAAAACUCGGGUAUAUCUUCUUUUGGAAAAAAGGGGGUAUGCUUGUUUUUUUCAAACAAACGAUCGCAACUAUUCUAUAUAAAAGAGGGGGGAAACAAGUGCUUGCCUGAUAUAAAAUCAUUGAUUUUUGGAAACAAAAUACAACUUUCAACAACGGAUCUCUUGGCUCUCACAUCGAUGAAGAACAUAGCAAAGUGUGAAAAUUAGUGUGAAUUGCAGAAUUCAGUGAAUCAUUGAGUUUUUGAACGCAUCUUGCACUUCUUGGUAUUCCAGGGAGUAUGCCUGGUUGAGCAAUGGGAACACAUCUAAUCAAACUCUCUUGUUUGUUUUUUUUGCCUUGUCAUUUAGACAGACAGACAGGCAGACAAGGAGGGGUUGGAAUUGAGUGGAUUUACCUUGGUUUUUUUACUUGAUCUUCUCUGUCAGAGCAAUCUAUCAGAGUAAGAGAAAAGCAGCAAGUCUAGCUAGGGUUUUUUUAGCUAGACAGAGAAAACACAAGGUUCACUUGAAAUAGAGGAAAAGAAACAACAACAGGAAACUUGGUGUUGGGAUCACAAAAAGACAAGCAGAAGCAUUUUCUCAUUCAUUUUGAGAAAAGAAGGGGGAGAGCAAGCUUGAUCAUAACAAUGACUUGAGGAAUUCUAUAGAUGGGUGGUGGGGCCAAUGAUUGACUCUUCUCUCUUUCUUGUUUGAUUGAGAAAGGGGGAAAGGUUGAUUGUUGCGCUUUUGCGCAUCCGUGUAGGCUAAAAGUCUUGUUUAGAGCUUCUCUUCUGUCUGCUCUGUCUGAUCUCUCUUCCAUCAGAGCUUGUGUUGUGUUUUUUCUACAACUAGGAAAUAUACAUUGAUUAUCAUUCUCAACUCAGGCAAGACUACCCGCUGAAUUUAAGCAUAUAAAUAAGCGGAGGAAAAGAAACUAACAAGGAUUCCCUUAGUAACUGCGAGUGAAGCGGGAAAAGCUCAAUUUUGAAAUCUACCAAGAGUAACAUUCUUGGUCGAAUUGUAGUUUCAAGAAAGAGUGGCUGAGAGAAGUCGGUUGGGUGCAAGUUCCUUGGAAUGGGACAUCAGAGAGGGUGACAAUCCCGUCUACCAUCCUUCCGUUUCGCUUCUCGUAAAGGCCCUUUUUUCAAAGAGUCGAGUUGUUUGGGAUUGCAGCUCAAAAUGGGUGGUAAAUUUCAUCUAAGGCUAAAUAUGGGUGAGAGACCGAUAGCGAACAAGUACCGUGAGGGAAAGAUGAAAAGCACUCUGAAGAGAGAGUGAAAAGUACGUGAAAUUGUUGAAAGGGAAACGCUUGAAACCAGUCAAGGUUUGCUAGAAAUCAGGGAGGUUCCAUAGCUUGGGCGAGGUUGGAUGUAGUGAUUGGCGCGCGUGUGUGCUUUCUUUUUUGAGGAGGCGCAGCAGCGCUGCUGACUCUGCGCUGGCUCCGGGCCUGGUUGUGCUUUCUGUACGUUUCUAACAAACAAGUCAGCAUCAGUUUGGCAGCUUGGGAAAAAGAUAGUAGGAUUUGGUCGGGCUUUUGGCAGACCUUGUGUCUCUGGAGGCUUGAGCCUGUUAUCAUGAUACCAAGUACUCUAGACUGAGGACAGCAGGACAGGGCAUCGUCUUGGAAUAGGCAAUCUUGUGGUGGCGGUCUUGAUAAACAGCUUGUCUGAUUGUCAAGGGUCUUUUGUCACUCAAGACUUGUCAAAUCCACGCAGGCUCUGACUUUGGAUGUUGACGAAAUGGUUUUAAACGACCCGUCUUGAAACACGGACCAAGGAGUCUAACAUGGAUGCAAGUAUUUGGGUGAUUGGAAACCCAUAUGCGCAAUGAAAGUGAAUUUAUUAAGAGGUAGGAAGCCCCCCCGGACUUUCUAAUAAAAAGUCCCGAGGGGGCCGCACUAUCGACCAAUCUUGACUAGCUCCGGCUUGAUAGAUUUGAGUAAGAGCAUGCAUGUUGGGACCCGAAAGAUGGUGAACUAUGCCUGAAUAGGGUGAAGUCAGACGAAAGUCUGAUGGAAGCUCGUAGCGAUUCUGACGUGCAAAUCGAUCGUCAAAUUUGGGUAUAGGGGCGAAAGACUAAUCGAACCAUCUAGUAGCUGGUUCCUGC
Molecule: unclassified non-coding RNA, 2107 nt
Filed under: uncultured fungus
Lineage: Eukaryota; Fungi
Description: sequence contains 18S rRNA gene, ITS1, 5.8S rRNA gene, ITS2, 28S rRNA gene
Rfam family: Eukaryotic large subunit ribosomal RNA (bases 872-2107)
Source: RNAcentral